GAUGAACGCUAGCGGCAGGCUUAACACAUGCAAGUCGAGGGGUAUUGGUUUUCGGACCAAGAGACCGGCGCACGGGUGCGUAACGCGUAUGCAAUCUACCUUUUGCAGAGGGAUAGCCCCAGAGAAAUUUGGAUUAAUACCUCAUAGUAUAGUACUUUGGCAUCAAGGAACUAUUAAAGUCACAACGGCAAAGAUGAGCAUGCGUCCCAUUAGCUAGUUGGUAAGGUAACGGCUUACCAAGGCUACGAUGGGUAGGGGUCCUGAGAGGGAGAUCCCCCCACACUGGUACUGAGACACGGACCAGACUCCUACGGGAGGCAGCAGUGAGGAAUAUUGGACAAUGGGCGCAAGCCUGAUCCAGCCAUGCCGCGUGCAGGAUGACGGUCCUAUGGAUUGUAAACUGCUUUUANACAGGAAGAAACACUCCGACGUGUCGGAGCUUGACGGUACUGUAAGAAUAAGGAUCGGCUAAACUCCGUGCCAGCA
Molecule: ribosomal RNA, 486 nt
Filed under: uncultured bacterium
Lineage: Bacteria
Description: bacterial SSU rRNA
Rfam family: Bacterial small subunit ribosomal RNA
Source: RNAcentral